GGGCGAUUAGCUCAGCUGGCUAGAGCGCCUGCUUGACAUGCAGGAGGUCACUAGUUCAAGUCUAGUAUCGCCCACCA
This 77-nucleotide transfer RNA is filed under the name Gemmatimonadota bacterium. Its description in RNAcentral is "Gemmatimonadetes bacterium tRNA-Val". It matches the Rfam family "tRNA". From Rfam's summary of the family: Transfer RNA (tRNA) molecules are approximately 80 nucleotides in length. Their secondary structure includes four short double-helical elements and three loops (D, anti-codon, and T loops). The record is from RNAcentral. Lineage: Bacteria; Pseudomonadati; Gemmatimonadota. RNAcentral also lists the same sequence under 2 other names.